CCACCGUCUGGUUACAAGAAGCAUAUGAGACUAGUGGGUGAAAUCAUUCUCUAACAUCUUGAUCAUGGGUCUUGAGAAUAAAAUCUGAGAUGUACCUACUUACCUGCACUGUCGUAAAUAUUGUCAUAUCCUCCCAUCAGUCCUUUGUAAGCCCAUUCCAAGUCCCACUUUAUUCUUAGACCACCUCCAAGCCCUCUCCAGAAAAGACCACUGCACCCUUCAGAGUCCUACCAGAGGGAGAGGUGUUUGCAGCUUCAAAUGGAACAUUGCUCAAGGCAAAGUCAUAGCCAGUGAGUAGUAGUUCAGUUAAAUUGUUCUCUAAGUAAGAGGGAAAGCAACAAUUAGGAGGCUUGGAUGGACUGAAGUACUUCCCUCACUACCAGUCAGUCCCUUCUGGUGUCUAGUCUCUGCCUUUACCCCUCUUUUCUUUCACUCCUCCCACAGUCUCUGAAUGGACCCAGUGGUUUUUCCCUCGUCACGCAGGGUGAAGACCAUGGUCAACAUGGGCUUUUGAACUUUAGAACAGUCAUCAGCAGGACGUACAGUUACGUACAGAAGUAAGCAGAAUGGGGCUUUAUGUGUUGCUUUCAAUUGCUCAUAUUUACUAAAAGUUUAUUGCUUGAAGUUGAAGUUUUUUCUUUUCUUAGAAAAGUAAACAUCAUGAAACAAGCAACAUAGUAUCACAUAAACCAGGCAUGAUGAUACAUCCAAUCAUCCCAGCACGGUGUACACCCAUAAUCCUCGCACUCAGAGGGCGAAAGCAGGAAAAUGGACAUUCAAGGGCAUUUUAGGUUACAUGUGGAAUUGGAAGCCAGCCUGGACUACAUGAAAUCCGGUAGAACGAGCUAUCAGUUUUUAUGGUGGAAGGCUCAUAAAUUGUCUACAGAGCCUUGCUCAGCUCCUACAGCUCUCAGUUAGCUUUAAAGAUAGGCAAGGCUGCCUCUGCACGCUGUUUUUUUUGUUUUGUUUUGUUUUUUCUUCCCUUUAAUAUAGCCCCAGAUUUUCUCAUUUUGAGUUAUUUAAUUACAAACCAGAAGGACCCGGGAAACCGCUAACAGACAUUACAGAUUGGAUUAAAGUAUUUUAAAUCAAGCCAGACAUAUGCCUAUAAUCCCAGCACAGGAGAGGAUUAAGAAACACGAAUGAGACCCAGGACACCCUGGGCUGCAGUGUAUAAACCCUGUCUCACAAACACAAAUGUUAAAAGUCCAAAAGUACCAUUAACUUAAAUUCCUCGUAUGAUGAGAAAUACAGGCUUCUUGUUAAAAAAAAAAAAAAAACAACAGUAUACAGUUAAUAAAGAGAGGCCUUAACUAUAGAAAGGUACCGGAGUAUCUCAACUGAGACUCAUAAUCUCCCCAAAUAGAGAACAGAACCACCUAGAUAGGAAUGGUUUGUUUGUAAGUAGAAAAUCGAUGGCUGGAGAGAUGGCUCUGGGGUUAAGAGCAUUGGCUGCUCUUACAGAAGACUCAGGUUUGGUUCUCAGUCCUCACAUGGGGUCUUAUAACUUAUCUCUAACUCCAGUGUCAGGGGUCAUGAUGCCUUCUUCUGAUCUCUGAGGGCACCAGCCGUGCACAGGGCAUGCAGACAUAAAGGCAGACAGGUGUUCACAAAAUAAAAAUAGUUGCUGAAAAAAUUAAAAAUCUCUAAUCAGUCCCACCAACUAAACAGUGUGGAGACCUUUGUUUAAAGCUGGUAGCAUUGGGUGCCACUGGGCAGGGGCCUUCUUAGAGUAACUUUAUAAAACCUUCUUGGUUUUUUUUUUUUCUAGUUAAGUUCCCAGACCCGGAGAGGUUCAUAAAUUUGUCCAAGAUACCAAAUAAAAGGCAAACUUGUUUUGCAAAGAGAUAUCCCUGAGUUGAAAGGCCCUAAGCUUCCUCAGAUGUUGGACUGUCGGUGCUGAGGGAGCUCUGCAGUGUGAGAGAACGGGAAAGUUGCAAGGCCUUCCUUAGAUGGUUAACAUUAAAAUAUUUGCUUGAUGUGUCUGGCCGGAAUAUUUUGAGAAUUUUGAAAGUAUGACUUAGAAGUAGUGUCUUUGUAAUGGAAACAUAAAGGACAUCAACAUCUACACCUUAAUCCCAAGGAAAACAUUUAGUGUUCUAUUAAAAAUGUAGCAACAUUAGGGAGAAACAUGCGUGGCAGACUGUAAAAGCAGAAACAUGGCAGCCUGCAUGUUCAGGUGGAAUCCGUGUAUGUGCCACAUAUCGUUUAACCAACAAAGUGCCCUGCAGCCAAUGGAGGGAGCCCCUUUGCUAGCUUUUCUAGGGAAUGCCAAACCUAUACAGGUCACCGUCACCGCUUGGAGAUACACAGGAAUAAAACUCCUCACAAAUGCACAAGCCCUCUGCAAAGGAAACGGCAGUUUGUACAAGGUUUGUUCCAGGUAGGACAACACUACGUAUAGGACCGUGUGCCACUCCCUGACAUGUCUGCCUGCUUCCACAGGUGAGAAAGAAAGCAGAGCUCAGAAGCCUGCAGUAACGUAAGGACACGAAUGGGUUCGGGAGCCCAGAAAGAUUUAGCGUGGCCGUAGAAUACUAAAAGAACAUUUUUACCAAAAGUAUGAGCUUGGUAUUGGGGGUGAUUUAUAAAGUGGGUCAAGAGCUUGACUUAUAAUUAUACUCUCUUGGAAAAAAAUUCCCCUUAUUCAUAGGGAAACCUAGAAAACGUUUGUUUUAAGAAAUCCUAUUGCCCUGGCUAUCUUUAUAGUGUUUGUAAAGUGAUGGAAUAGAGACACCGUUUAGAUGUUCAAAUAGUGAACAGAUUACUUUAGGGGAAACAGACAAAAAAGAAAAAUAGCAUAUAUACCCAAGAUUAUUCUGGAGAAACUAGGUUGUGAACAAUGCUUUGCUUCCUUGUAAACAGGACACGACUUAUUAAUAAAAGCAAAAACCCACUACGACAUUAGUAGCAUCCACAAAAACCUUCACUCUAUCUUUGCAUCGCCAUGCAGAGAGGAAAGGACUGGCUACCUCAACUGUCAAGACCCAUCCAGUUGAGGCCCUUUUGGAUCUCAAGAACUGUUUGCACUGUGAGUCCUCGAGACGGUGGUUGAGCCUUUUGUCCGAAGGGCAAGUGGUUCUCUAACUUCAGCAGGCAUCACUCACCUAAGGGUUCCAAACCACAGAUGCCCAGGUUUCUAUUUCUAUACAUUUGGCAAUUUGCAUUUCUAGCAAGCUUCCAGAUGAAGCCACUGCUGCCGCUCUGGGAACCACAGGCUAGGAAUCAUUUCCUUUCAGAUCAGCCUGACUUAUCAAGCACUAACCUGACCUGACCCAUGGGCAAACAGCAUGGGAUUAAAUUACUUAAAACAUUCCAGUUCACCCCAUCCCAGUUUUAUUGUACCAACAGCUGGCCCUUACACAUUAGAAGACAAUGAAUGUAUACCUUCUAUGGAACCGCGAGAUAACUCUAAGCUCAUCUUUGUAUUUAUAAGCAUUAAUUCUAUAAAUGAUUGUUUGUAUCCUGUCGACUUGUACUGAAGGUGACUUUAAAUUUAUAUGGUAUUUUCAUUCCCUUCUAUAUAAUUUUAAUGAGAUAUUUCCAUGUAUGGCUCCAUCACAGCCUGGCUCCUGGCUUUCAGAGGCUUUUGAAUAGUUGCUUGCUUGCCAGUUACUUUGUGUCUUCGAUUGGUCAUUGACAUAUAAGCAUCCCGAAAUGCUAGGCCACUUCCUAUGGUAACUUCGUCUUUCGAGGAACUGUGCGGUGUAAAUUAGCACUUUAGUUUCAAGUUGAUCUGUCAAGCGUCUACUAAAAUGGCUUUGUGAAAAAUUGUCAAAAUGAAACAAUUCCUUUUGAGCAGUAGGUAUGCCUGUCUUGACUUUUCAGUAAACAUUGUGUUUAUAAAGAUAUCUGCACAAUGAAAUUUAUUAUUCCACAGGAUGGGGCAUAUAGGAAAGUCAACUUAUGUGCUUUGAGAAUUUAGUGAAAUGAGCCCUAUUACAGAUGGGGCCUCAGUUUUUAUUUUAGCUCUUUGCUCAGUUAAUUAGCCUUAGUAACUCCUUUUUUAUUUCAAAAUAAGGGCCAUGUAAUAGGAAGAACUGAUGAUCUGUGUUUUGAUUAAAUUCAACAUUUAAAUAAAACAAGUUUUAUCAAUGUAAUUCCAUCUACUAAGGAGGCUGAGGCAGAAGGAUCGUAAGUUUGAGCUUUGCCUGGGCGGCACAGAGAGAUUCUGUCUCAAAAAUUAGUGAGUAAAUAAAUGCACACGAAUGAAAAACAGUGGAGCAUACAAGAGAACAAUAAUUGAGUACUCUAAAUAUCACCUGUUUAUAAAUUAUCAAUUCUGUAUAAUUCUUAUUGACCUGAUAAAGUUUAUCUAAAUACUUUUGCUUAAUAAAUACUUUGAAAUAGUUUAAAUUAGACUAUUGUUUGAAUAGAAAGCAGUCACUCUAGGUACUUGUAUUAGCGAAGGCAUUAUCAACAGAGUGUUAAGGAUUCAAGUCUUUGGCUGUGUGGUUGAAAAUAAUUAAGAAUAUUUUCUUUUUGUUUUCUGUAACAAUUUAAAAAUUAUGUGCGCAGUUUGUUUAGUUCUGAUUUUAAUUGCAUCUUAAAAACUCAAUCUCUACAAAUCAUUUUUCCAAACUGUUUCAAUAAACUGUUUCCAAAAAGGAGGGGGAGGACCCGAAAGCCAAUCUAGCUUUUCUCUCAGACUUAAGGAGGCUUAAGCCCUUGACAACCCCUGCUGCAGUGGCCCUCCCCGCCCUCCUCAGGUCUCUGCUAGCCCUCUGCCACUGCUUGCUGUGCAGUUCUUUCCUCUGGAUAAUUUUGAAAUGAGUAUGAUGAUAGCAGUCAGUUUCUUGUUACAUAUUAGCUACUUUAGUCGAAGAUGAAUGACUUGGAUAUUUGGGUUUCUUUUCCGUUGAGACCCAGUAGGUUAGAAUACCCAGUGUGGCCUGAUAGGGUAGGAGAAAGUUCCUAGAGGGAAAGG
This 4927-nucleotide long non-coding RNA is filed under the name Rattus norvegicus (Norway rat). Its description in RNAcentral is "long non-coding RNA NONRATT001969". The record is from RNAcentral. Lineage: Eukaryota; Metazoa; Chordata; Mammalia; Rodentia; Muridae.